Tribolium castaneum (red flour beetle) is the source of this 5566-nucleotide long non-coding RNA. RefSeq lists it as uncharacterized. The record is from RefSeq and is a predicted model, not a curated record. Lineage: Eukaryota; Metazoa; Arthropoda; Insecta; Coleoptera; Tenebrionidae. The transcript has 9 exons.
CUCGUCGCAUGUGCUAUUCCAAAUAUUCUAUUAUAUUAUUUUUGCAUUUUUCGUCUGUAGGUGGUAGAUUGGUUUUUGGUAAAGCAGCACAUCACUGUUAGAUCAGCUUCAGUUUCUUUUCAGUUCACUUUUAAUGCAGUUAGUAUUAUUAACUCGGUGGUGAGUUUGACGAUAUCAUUGAGUGGCGCUUAAUGCUUCCAGUAGAGAAUAGUGUUUAACACACAAUUGUCUAGAGACAGCAAUAGUGGCUCUGAAGAAGUGAAAAUUCUUUGGGCCUCAAAAAAGUGUGUUGGAAAUUAAAAGCACCACACUUAUCUCAGAUUGGCUGCCAGCUAACUCUAGUACAACUGUCGUCGCAAAUUUGAACUAUACAUAGACUUGCCAUAGAGAAGUUCCAUCAGCCAAUGGGUACAUCAAGUAAAUUGCUCAGAUAUUGCAAGGGUUGAAUCAUCGUGUUCCUACUUGAAAUUUUUAGCCUCAGUAUCCCCUUACCUGAAGUGAAUUUAAUAUAAAGGGAGAUUACAUGGGUUACAAUAAUUGAAACGGAGUUCAAAACCAAUUAUUAGUUCAUUUUCAGUCAGUUUUGGUUUGUUUUUAGUUCAGUUCAGUGCCAGAUUAAUGUUUUAGUUGCGUUCUAGUUUAGGUACAGGUCAGUGUUAGUUCCAUUCCAGUUUUAUUGUGUUUAGUUCAACUCAGUUCCAAUAAUUCUAGUUCAGUUAAAAGUAUUGUGGUGACUUGAACAGUGAGUAGUGCCUCCAGUAAAAAAUAGAGUUUGAGAGAAGUGUCUAUAAACAGCCAUAGUGCCACUGGAGUGUGAAAGUGUGCUAUGGAAUUCUUUCUGAAUCCUUGUGAACCGUGUGAACGACCUGAAAUCAGCGACAGUAGGGGUGGCUGUAUGCGAAUUUGGUGGAUUACACUUAUCGUCUUUGUUAAGUUGAUCUUUUGGGAAACUAAAUGUCACUUUUCUGCAUUUCCUGCAUUUUCAAAAAGAACUUAAGGAAUUUUAUAGAUUCAUUUUGCGAUUGGAAGUUAAGGAAAUAGGAGGGGCAAAUUCAUCCUUAAGGACGUGCCUCACUACCUCGGGCGGGGCGGGGCCCGGGGAUUAUAAGAAAAAGUAGAGGAAUCGAAGAAUUAAUCUGACCAACGGUGUCCUUUUGUUUUUCUAUGAUUUUACUUUAGGAAAAGAAUUGCUCUAUUUUUUCUUGGUAAGUUGCCCAGACAUUGCAAGAAUUGCAAGGGCUGAAACAUGGUAGUCCUUUAUUUCCUAUUUUAAUUUAAAGGAAGACCACGUGCAAGGAGUUGAAAGCCAGUGUUCAUUAAUUUUGAGUGUCAGUUUGUUUUCAUUUCAGUUUCUGUUAAGUUCAGUGUUAGUUUCAUUCCUGUUUUAUUGUGUCUAGUUUUACUCAGUUCCAGUUCAUUUGCAGUCCAGUCAGUGAUAGUUCAGCUUCACUUAAGUUUAGUUUUAAUUCAGCAGACAAUUUAGUGAUGAACAUGAACAGUGAGUUGUACCUUCAAUAGAAACUAGUGUUUAAGAUAAAUGUCUUCUCCCGAAAAACGAAUACAAAGAGAAGUGAAAAGUGCUUUGUGUCUUAGAAAAUGUCUGCGAAAUUAGAAGAACCAGUUUUUAUCGUUUGCCUAGUUUGUAUGCCAGCUAACCCUCGGUAGUAGAACUGUCAUCGCAAAUUUUUGAACUACACAUCGAUCGCUAUAAAGAAGUUCCAUCAGGCAAUGCUUUAGGAACGAAUCGUUUGAACCUCUGUAACCCUCUUCUUGAAGUUAAUUUAUUUUAAAGGAAGGACACGACAAUUGAAGAGGAGUUCGCAACCAGUAUUAAUUAAUUUUUAGUCAGUUUUAAUUUAUUUUCAGUUUAGUUCAGUUUUAGUGUCUGUUCAAAUUCAGUUUUGGUUCAGUUAACAAUGCAGUGGAGAGUUUUACGUAAACAGUGAACGAUGCUUAAAGGUGCCUCCAGUAAAAAAUAGUGUUAGUCUAUAAACGGUGUUUAUAGUGUCUAUAAACGGAACCAAGAAAAGAAGACAAAGAGAAGUUAAAUGUGCCUUGGACCUCGAGAAGUGUGCUAAAUUAGAAGAACCAGUUUAUAGCUUGCUCAGCUUGAAUGCCAUCUAACUCUAGAUAGUAUAAGUGUCGUCAUAAAUUGGGACUACAAAAUGUGUUUUUGGUCAUGAACUUGACACAUCACUGUUCUGCUAUGCAGUUCCUGUAAUGGAAUCGUUGGCAGCAGUGGCAUUGACCUGCUUUUGCCUCAUUUUCUCGGUUUCUCACUUUUGACCAUCAGGCUGUAGACGAUGUUCACCUUCCAGACCUUCUUCACCUAGUCUAGUGAAGCCUUCAGGAGCACCAACGGGAGUUGUUUCUUCCUGGUGUGCAUUCAAUGGGAUUGAAAAAUUGAGUGUGAAUUCUUUCUGAAUCCAUGAACCAUGUGAACGACCUGAAAUCAGCAACAGUAGAUGGCUGUUUGGGAAUUUGGUGGAUAACGCUCUUCGCCUUUGUUAAAUUGAUCUUUUGGGAAACCAAAUGUCAUUUUUCUGCAUUUCCUGCAUUUUCUGGAAGAACUUUAGAAUUUUAUAGAUUUGUUUUGCAAUUGAAGUUGAAGAAAUAGGAGAGGCAAAUUCAUCCUUAAGGACGUGCCUCACUACCCCUGGCGGGGCGGGGCCCGGGGAUUAAAAGAAAAGACAUUGCAAGAAUUGCAAGGGUUGAAACGUGGUAUCUCUAUUUAGACCUUUUAAGCUCUGAUAGCUCUUCACUUGCAAGACCACUUGGAUGACAGUUGAAGAAGAGUUGAAAGCCAGUGUUGAUUAAUUUUGAUUGUCAGUUUAUUUUCAGUUUAGUUUUUGUUGUUAAGUUCAGUGUUAGUUUUAUUUCUAUUUUAUUGUGUUUAGUUUUACUCAGUUACAGUUCAGUGUCAGUGUUAGUUCAAGUUUUGGUUAAGUUCAGUUUUAAUUCAGUUAACAAUACAGUGGUGACAUGAACAGUGAGUUGUAUCUCCAGUAGAAAAUAGUGUUUUCAAAUGGAACUGAGAAAAGAAGACAAAGAGAAGUGAAAAGUGCUUUGGGCCUCAAAAAAAAAAUCUGCGAAAUUUGAAGAAUCAGUUUAUUGCCUGCCCAGUCUGCCCAGGAACAGUUUGUUUGAACCUCUAAAACUCUUUAUUGGAACUCAAUUUAUAUUAAAGGAAGAACACGUGGAUGACAGUUGAAGAGGAGUUGAAAACCAAUUUUCAGUCAGUUCCUGUUUAUUUUAAGUUCAUUUCAUUUUUAGUUCAGUGUCUGUUCAAAUUCACUUAUAGUUUAGUUAACAAUACAGUGGUGAGUUUUGACGUAAACAGUGAAUAGUGCUUAGAUGUGUCUUCAGUAGAAAAUAGUGUUAGAAUAGUGUUAGAAAGGUGUUAGAAAAUAGUGUCUAUAAACAAAACUAAGAAAAGAAGACAAAGAGAAGGGAAAAGUGUUUUUGACAUCGAAAAGUGUGCUAAAUUAGAAGAACCAGUUUAUGCUUACUCAGCUUGAAUUUCAUCUAACUCUAGAUAGUACAACCCUUGUCACAAAUUGGGUCUACGCCAUAAAGAAAUUCCAUCAGGAACAAAUCAUCUGAAAGUAUGUAUUCUGCCAUAUUGUCACCAACCCAUUUGCUGUGCGCGCCUGCAGUCGUAUAACUACUGUUCCGGAGAAAAGUUUAUAGUGACUACUUACUCUUCUUGUUGCCCUUUUACUAAGACAACUAAGAGAUGGCCCUUUCCUGAGCAUUUAUCAAGUGAUUUGAUGAUAAAUAUUAGUUUGCGACGGCUCUUCAAAAACAAUUCAACGCUUUGUGUCAAAGAGAUCGUCUAUCAACAUAGUGGCAACAAGGAUAUAUUGCAAAUGAAUGAAACUUUCUGCUUUAAUGGAAUUUUUAGUCAAGGUAAUGCAUUCGUAUUGUUCAGUUUAACGGUGAAGUUGCAAGUUUUCGACGACAUAUUGAACUGAGAAAUCUCAAUAGCACCUUACAUGGAAACUCUGGAAAUACAAAUCUACAACAAAGCGUUUUACUAUCGCUUUAGAACUUGCGGUUAAAUUAAUGACAAAUAUUUUUGUUGAGACUUCAGCAAAAUUUAUACUUCUGCCAUCGAUUGGAUUAUUUGAAACUAUGCUCAAGUAAUGGAAACAGUCUGACUCUAAAACCAUUACAAGAAAUACAGUACCGUUAAAAGAUCACAGCUCGAAAACUUUUACUCGACCAUUGGAUUUACCUGAGAAUUUGUCUCAAAUGGAAUAACAACAAAUAUCGCAAUAAAGAAAUUAGAUCAAACAAUGCAAACAUUGUUUUAUCGUCUGAAAGCUCUUGUUAUACCAUAUAGUCAACAGUCGAUCUGCCGCUUUGUCAUUUAACCCGUCAAUAAUGAGAUGUUCCUUUACGGAGCCUCUAACAAGUGGAUUGCUGAUAAAUAUUUAGUUGCGACAGACAGCUCUACAACAAUUCAACGAUUUGUUCAUACUUUGAAACAUUUUUAUCAAAGAUAUCAUCUGUCAACAUACAGGUGUGAUUGAGGCACUCUGCCCAGAGAGAUUAUGAAUGAACUUUAUGCAGCCAUGGGAUCUCCGAUCAAAUAUAUUCAGUGGAUAUUUAACCACAUACAACAUUCUAAAGGGCAAUGUAUACGUACUGUUUGAAGUUUUCAAAAUCAUACACAUACAAGAUACAAGAAGCAAGACAUACGAGUAACACCUUACAUACCUCACAUUUUAUUAUCGCUUUAGACCCGACUAGACAGUAGCAAAAUUUAUGGUCCUUCAAAUAUCAUCGGUUGGUUCAUUCCAAAAAGUGCCUAAGUAAUGGAAAGUCUUUAGCGAAAACAUUGCAAGAAAGACAGUACCGUUAAAAGGCUUCAGUCCAAAAAUUUCGACUUGAAUACUGGAUUUGCCUGAAAACUCGUCUCAAAUGAAAUGUCACGAUUUCCGUUUAGACAUGUAGAUUAACUACAGCUUGCAGUGUGAUAAAGGUUUACUUAAGAAUAAAACGUACAGCAGAUUGGAUAAACAGUCAAUUUGUGAUCGACUGUUCAAACCAGCAGACCAUUUCAUAUCAUUUUUGAAUGCUGGUUAUGUUUGCAAGUAAUCUGCUCAACUUUUUAACCUUGCUUCAACGAUCUUCGAGGGAGAACUUCAAAAUAGAACAUAAUUACAAAUUGUUUAUAUAAAGUUGCCAAGUUUGUAACGAUUUUGUAAUAUGUAAAAUUAAUCAAGUUUUUUUGGGUUUUAAAUUUAUAUUACCUAUGUUUUUAAUGAGAUUAUCAAUUUUUUGUUUUAAUUUUAUUUUGUUCAAGAAUCUCUAUUUUCCAAAUUUGACAUCAUUAUUAAUUUUCUAUUCACAUUGAAAACAUAGUCAAUUUUAAAUAACAUUUGUUAGAUUAAGGUGGGCGAAUGUGAAGCAGAUUUACUGUUGUGAUUUCUCUGUUUUACCAGCACAGAAAUAACAGUAAAUCUGUUUACAAUCAGUUGUGCAGAAUUCUUACUUGUUUGAAAAAAAUAGAAAAAAAAGAUUAUAAAAUACAAAAGUAAAAGAACAAAUAAAAACGAAA